Molecule: ribosomal RNA, 549 nt
Filed under: uncultured bacterium
Lineage: Bacteria
Description: partial 16S ribosomal RNA
Rfam family: Bacterial small subunit ribosomal RNA
Source: RNAcentral
UGGGGAAUUUUGGACAAUGGGGGAAACCCUGAUCCAGCCAUCCCGCGUGUGCGAUGAAGGCCUUCGGGUUGUAAAGCACUUUUGGCAGGAAAGAAACGUCGCGGGUUAAUACCCCGCGAAACUGACGGUACCUGCAGAAUAAGCACCGGCUAACUACGUGCCAGCAGCCGCGGUAAUACGUAGGGUGCAAGCGUUAAUCGGAAUUACUGGGCGUAAAGCGUGCGCAGGCGGUUCGGAAAGAAAGAUGUGAAAUCCCAGAGCUUAACUUUGGAACUGCAUUUUUAACUACCGGGCUAGAGUGUGUCAGAGGGAGGUGGAAUUCCGCGUGUAGCAGUGAAAUGCGUAGAUAUGCGGAGGAACACCGAUGGCGAAGGCAGCCUCCUGGGAUAACACUGACGCUCAUGCACGAAAGCGUGGGGGAGCAAACAGGAUUAGAUACCCUGGUAGUCCACGCCCUAAACGAUGUCAACUAGCUGUUGGGGGCCUUCGGGCCUUGGUAGCGCAGCUAACGCGUGAAGUUGACCGCCUGGGGAGUACGGUCGCAAGAUU